This 254-nucleotide ribosomal RNA is filed under the name uncultured bacterium. RNAcentral describes it as "partial 16S ribosomal RNA". It matches the Rfam family "Bacterial small subunit ribosomal RNA", at positions 524 to 776 of the family's 1533-position model. The record is from RNAcentral.
UACGUAGGGUGCAAGCGUUGUCCGGAAUUAUUGGGCGUAAAGAGCUCGUAGGCGGUCUGUCACGUCGGCUGUGAAAACCCGAGGCUCAACCUCGGGCCUGCAGUCGAUACGGGUAAACUAGAGUACUGCAGGGGAGACUGGAAUUCCUGGUGUAGCGGUGAAAUGCGCAGAUAUCAGGAGGAACACCGGUGGCGAAGGCGGGUCUCUGGGCAGUAACUGACGCUGAGGAGCGAAAGCCGUGGGGAGCGAACAGG